GCCAGGGUGGUGAAACGGUAGACACGCAAGGUUUAGGACCUUGUAGCUGCAAGGCUGUGGAGGUUCAAGUCCUCUCCCUGGCA
Molecule: transfer RNA, 83 nt
Filed under: Microcaldota archaeon
Lineage: Archaea; Nanobdellati; Microcaldota
Description: tRNA-Leu
Rfam family: tRNA
About the family: Transfer RNA (tRNA) molecules are approximately 80 nucleotides in length. Their secondary structure includes four short double-helical elements and three loops (D, anti-codon, and T loops).
Source: RNAcentral